GACAGAGGGGGCAAGCGUUGCUCGGAAUCACUGGGCGUAAAGGGCGCGUAGGCGGGAUGGCAAGUCAGUCGUGAAAUCUCUCGGCUCAACCGAGAAACGUCGGCUGAUACUGCCGUUCUUGAGGGAUGCAGAGGAGACUGGAAUUCCCGGUGUAGCGGUGAAAUGUGUAGAGAUCGGGAGGAACACCGGUGGCGAAGGCGGGUCUCUGGACCACAACUGACGCUGAGGCGCGAAAGCUAGGGGAGCAAACAGG
Molecule: ribosomal RNA, 253 nt
Filed under: uncultured bacterium
Lineage: Bacteria
Description: partial 16S ribosomal RNA
Rfam family: Bacterial small subunit ribosomal RNA
Source: RNAcentral